CACAAUUCAACCGAGUCACGACACAAUUUUUGGUUUAGUGGUUGAUACGCAACACAAACUACUUUGUUUUAUUUGGUGUUUGUUAUGUUUAAGUAUUAAAUAGAACAUUGCAAAAUUCAAAAACUCUACUAUUUCCAUUGUGGUUUAUUUAGUUUAGUAUGAAAACAAGACGAAGGAUAGGGUGCACAAGUUAAAAAACUUGGACACCAUGCCAAAGUCUUUUAUAACCGUUCAUUUUGAUCAAAGAGUUCAGAUUUUUUUGUUAUUUUUCAUUUUCGAUUUUUUCUUGUUUUUCCCAAUUUGUCCCUGCCUCUCUUCUCUCUCACGGUCUCACCUACCAUCUUUCCAAUUGCGAUCCAGAUCCAGAAGUGGAUCACGGCCACCGGAAUACCCCUCACUUUCUUCAUGACGACGACACAGAAGAGUAACGCGUCGCAGGCGGUGCGUGGAGGUGGUCAAUUUGCGCCUUCAUCAUGAUGCCUUUGUUGACGUCGUCGAAGGUGUUCGCGGAAGCACUGAGGUAGGGGAUGAAGUGGAGUGUUAUGUUGUCGGUUUGAGUUCGGAGGCGAGCCAUUGGUGGUGGUGGCCGCGGCAGUGGCGGUGGCGGUGGGUGGAGUUUCGUUUUGUUGGCGUUUGGCUUUGCCGCUUUGGUGGGUGUCACAGGUUUUACGGUGCUUCAAGUUUUGUUUUUUUUGUGGUCUAAUUCAUAUCCAUUUCUGCAAGACUUGUAUGGUAGUUUGAGUUUCAUUUUUUUCUGUUUCAGAUUUGUUUCUUGAAGUUUUUUUUAUGUUUCAUGUGUGUUGUUGUUGGUUUUAUGAAAGCCAUUGACAUAUAUGGUAGAGAGACAUGGUCGCCGGAGAAGAGUGUAGAGAAGUUGCCGGAGGAGGAGAGGAUGAGGAUGUGGUUGGGAUUAAGGUUUGGAAAGAUUUUGAGUGGUGAGAGAAAAGAUAGAAUCAAGGAUAAUUACAGGGUAAAUCGGGAAAGAAAGUCAUAAAAAGAGAAAUAAAAAGAUAAAAAAGAGAAAAUAUCACAACCAUUAAUUCAAAGUUAUAAAAAUCUAACCGUUCAUAAGAAACUUUGGUAUGGAGCCCAAGUUUUUAAACUUGUGCACCCUAGGUCCCUAGCCAUCGUUUGAAAACAAUGAAGAGAGUAAUAAUGGUGAUGGGAAUCAUAUGUGGGGUACAAAAAGUUGUCUCUUGGUUUAUUAUUAAUAAUGUUAAUGUUUUUUUUUUAUGUUUAAUUUUAUCUGCUUUGAUUGUUUCAUGGUGAGGGGGAGUCUUGGCACAAUUAUAAAGUUGUAUCUUGGUGAUGGGUUGGUUAUGUGUUUGAAUUCAGGCACAAGGAUAAUACUUCUUAUAAUGAUCCUCUUUCAUAUAUUUGCAUAGUGAGAGUCUUCAGGUACUGGGAUAGGUUAGUUUUAAUUGUUUCAUGGUCACUUUUAAAAUUAAUCAAAUAAUAGUAGUUUUGUGUUGUUUAGUUCAUUAUUUUUCAAAUAAUGAAUCUUGAGGAUGAGUUUUGAUAUAAAACAAAGUUUUAGAAUGUGAUUGUUUUUUUUGUUAAUCUUUUUCCUUGCUUUAUGUUGAGUUGGCUAUUGAACUUUCUAUUGUGUAAAAGAGUAGUUUGUUUUUCAUUCAUUUUAAUUUUGGGUUCUAUGAAAAAAAAUGGUGAAUCCAUUUAGUUAAGGAGAGAAUUCUCAAGUUUAGAGAUUUAUAGAGUUUUUAGGAUCCCCAUUCACAAAACAAAAUAUUUAAAAUGGUCUCAACUAUCAACUUGUUCAUAUCAUGUUAAGGAGGGUAUAGUUAAGUUGACAGGGUAUUGCGCGAAUUAAUGUAGAUUAACUGUUACUGUUUUUUAUUUUCACAUAUAAGACAAAAUCAUGUUAAAGGGAAAAAAUGUAAAUUUAGACAUUCAGUCCCUUGACAAGUAGUAGAACAGAUGACAUAUAUCCAACAUAUAUUACACGAGAUUAUAAAGCUUCAAUGUAUGUUUCUUAGAAUGAUGAAGAAAAUUUGAGAUGCAAUAAAUGGAAUCUAUUCAAAGACCCAAGUAUAUAAUGUAAAGGUGAAAAUAAUUACAACAAAAGCAAGGGUAUAAACCUAUCACAGAAUAUGCCAAUAUAUUGAAAUUCUAUACAGAAUAAAUGUAAUGUAGAUUCAAUGGUCCUUAAAUAUUUUAUCGAACAAGAUAAGGUCCAUGACCUUUUGUGGGACUAAAUUCUAAAUUUGAUUGAAUACGAAUUCAAAUUUUGAGAAACCAGAGUCGUUGCUAUUGUGCGAAGUGAGGAGAGAGUAAAAGGAACUUAAUGCUGGAUAUUGUAAAUGUUGUAAAUGUUGAGGUUAAUAAAAAGUGAAAAAGAAGGGUGGUAUACCUAUUUAUAAUAAGCCUCAAUAAAUCCGAGAAAAUGACCGGAAGUUGCGUGGUAAAGCAGCUCAUAAUUAUGAAGGGAGACUGUAAAACACAACGAAACAUGAAAAGAGGAGUCGAAUUAUGUUUCAAAUAAUUUUCUGCAGAACUAUGUAUCAUUUACUUGAAAGACGACGCAAAACAAUUUUAAACUAACUUAGUUUUAAGUCUCUUAUAAAAAAAAUUAUAUUUAAAUCUCUUUAAUCCUCAAAAGCAAUAUAUUUUAAUUAAUCUCUUACAAUUUCCCAAUGUAAUUAAAUUCUAAGGCAAUGGUGGCGAAUUUGACUUCCUAUAAACUGUUGGAAAACUAUGAAGCUUUUUUCUUUGUUUUUUUUUUAUCUCUCAGAAUGUUAAAUAAUUAACAUUUUUUGGUUGAUUUAAUUAAUUAAUUUACAUUCUCCAAAAACUAUUCUACUCUUCAGGACAGGUACAUUUCAGGAGUAAUCAAAAUCG
Molecule: long non-coding RNA, 2856 nt
Filed under: Glycine max (soybean)
Lineage: Eukaryota; Viridiplantae; Streptophyta; Magnoliopsida; Fabales; Fabaceae
Description: long non-coding RNA (GMAX_LNC002946)
Source: RNAcentral